RNAcentral lists this unclassified non-coding RNA (281 nucleotides) under Glomeraceae sp. RNAcentral describes it as "partial contains 5.8S ribosomal RNA and internal transcribed spacer 2". The stretch from base 1 to 65 matches the Rfam family "5.8S ribosomal RNA", at positions 84 to 154 of the family's 154-position model. The record is from RNAcentral. Lineage: Eukaryota; Fungi; Glomeromycota; Glomeromycetes; Glomerales; Glomeraceae.
GUGAAUCAUCAAAUUUUUGAACGCAAAUUGCACUCUCUUCGGUGAGUAUGCCUGUUUGAGGGUCAGCCUAUAAAAAAUCGUCAUCGUUGCUGUUUCGCGUUGGUGUUCGUCGGAAAUUUGUUCAUUUUAAAUCCUUUUGAUUUAAGCGACUUAAAAUUUUCUUUUUUUUCAAUGUACGUGCUUCUAAGAUUUAUUUUUUUACACGUUUUAUGUAUCGAUUUUUAUUAGUCGUGACCAUCAUAUCGGAUCUCGUCCUUAAUCUUUCAUUAACUGACCUCCGA